Molecule: transfer RNA, 175 nt
Filed under: Elsinoe australis
Lineage: Eukaryota; Fungi; Ascomycota; Dothideomycetes; Myriangiales; Elsinoaceae
Description: tRNA-Tyr
Source: RNAcentral
UCUCCGCUCCCAGAAUCGAACUCUGAAGGGUAUUAGAAUGAUGAAAUCAUUGGAAGAGUGUGUUCAUUAACGUACAGGGACCUUCUGAUUAAGCAGUAGAAUCCACUCUUCAGUGAGCUGAAGAGUAACUGAUCAAUUACAGUCAGACGUGAUGAACCAACUACACCAAGCGGAG